UGGGGAAUUUUGGACAAUGGGGGCAACCCUGAUCCAGCCAUGCCGCGUGAGUGAAGAAGGCCUUCGGGUUGUAAAGCUCUUUUGGUCGGGAAGAAAAGGCCUGGGUGAAUAGCCCGGGGAUUUGACGGUACCGGCAGAAUAAGCACCGGCUAACUACGUGCCAGCAGCCGCGGUAAUACGUAGGGUGCGAGCGUUAAUCGGAAUUACUGGGCGUAAAGCGUGCGCAGGCGGUUGCUGAAGUCCGUUGUGAAAGCCCCGGGCUCAACCUGGGAAUGGCAGUGGAAACUAGGCGACUUGAAUCUGGCAGAGGGGGGUGGAAUGCCACGUGUAGCAGUGAAAUGCGUAGAGAUGUGGCGGAACACCGAUGGCGAAGGCAGCCCCCUGGGUCAAGAUUGACGCUCAGGCACGAAAGCGUGGGGAGCAAACAG
RNAcentral lists this ribosomal RNA (428 nucleotides) under uncultured bacterium. RNAcentral describes it as "bacterial SSU rRNA". It matches the Rfam family "Bacterial small subunit ribosomal RNA", at positions 355 to 775 of the family's 1533-position model. The record is from RNAcentral.